RNAcentral lists this ribosomal RNA (498 nucleotides) under uncultured bacterium. RNAcentral describes it as "partial 16S ribosomal RNA". It matches the Rfam family "Bacterial small subunit ribosomal RNA", at positions 30 to 523 of the family's 1533-position model. The record is from RNAcentral.
AUUGAACGCUGGCGGCAUGCCUUACACAUGCAAGUCGAACGGUAACAGGUCUUCGGAUGCUGACGAGUGGCGAACGGGUGAGUAAUACAUCGGAACGUGCCUAGUAGUGGGGGAUAACUACUCGAAAGAGUGGCUAAUACCGCAUGAGAUCUACGGAUGAAAGCAGGGGAUCGCAAGACCUUGUGCUACUAGAGCGGCCGAUGGCAGAUUAGGUAGUUGGUGGGAUAAAAGCUUACCAAGCCGACGAUCUGUAGCUGGUCUGAGAGGACGAUCAGCCAAACUGGGACUGCGAAACGGCCCAGACUCCUACGGGAGGCAGCAGUGGGGAAUUUUGGACAAUGGGCGCAAGCCUGAUCCAGCAAUGCCGCGUGCAGGAUGAAGGCCUUCGGGUUGUAAACUGCUUUUGUACGGAACGAAAAGCCCCGGGUUAAUACCCUGGGGUCAUGACGGUACCGUAAGAAUAAGCACCGGCUAACUACGUGCCAGCAGCCGCCGUAA